GGAAGUACAGCUCAAUGGCAGAGCAUGUGCUUAGCAUCCACAAGGUCCUAGGUUCAGUCCCCGGUACUGCCA
Molecule: transfer RNA, 72 nt
Filed under: Camelus bactrianus (Bactrian camel)
Lineage: Eukaryota; Metazoa; Chordata; Mammalia; Artiodactyla; Camelidae
Also listed under: 2 other names
Rfam family: tRNA
About the family: Transfer RNA (tRNA) molecules are approximately 80 nucleotides in length. Their secondary structure includes four short double-helical elements and three loops (D, anti-codon, and T loops).
Source: Rfam by way of RNAcentral